AGUGAACGCUGGCGGUAGGCCUAACACAUGCAAGUCGAACGGCAGCACAGAGGAGCUUGCUCCUUGGGUGGCGAGUGGCGGACGGGUGAGGAAUACAUCGGAAUCUACUCUGUCGUGGGGGAUAACGUAGGGAAACUUACGCUAAUACCGCAUACGACCUACGGGUGAAAGCAGGGGACCUUCGGGCCUUGCGCGAUUGAAUGAGCCGAUGUCGGAUUAGCUAGUUGGCGGGGUAAAGGCCCACCAAGGCGACGAUCCGUAGCUGGUCUGAGAGGAUGACCGGCCAAACUGGAACGGAGACACGGUCCCGACUCCUACGGGAGGCAGCAGUGGGGAAUAUUGGACAAUGGGCGCAAGCCUGAUCCAGCCAUACCGCGUGGGUGAAGAAGGCCUUCCGGUUGUAAAGCCCUUUUGUUGGGAAAGAAAUCCAGCUGGCUAAUACCCGGUUGGGAUGACGGUACCCAAAGAAUAAGCACCGGCUAACUUCGUGCCAGCCGCCGCCGUAA
RNAcentral lists this ribosomal RNA (506 nucleotides) under uncultured bacterium. RNAcentral describes it as "partial 16S ribosomal RNA". It matches the Rfam family "Bacterial small subunit ribosomal RNA", at positions 29 to 523 of the family's 1533-position model. The record is from RNAcentral.